RNAcentral lists this ribosomal RNA (440 nucleotides) under uncultured bacterium. Its description in RNAcentral is "partial 16S ribosomal RNA". It matches the Rfam family "Bacterial small subunit ribosomal RNA", at positions 338 to 795 of the family's 1533-position model. The record is from RNAcentral.
CCUACGGGUGGCAGCAGUGGGGAAUAUUGCACAAUGGGGGAAACCCUGAUGCAGCGACGCCGCGUGAGCGAUGAAGUCUUUCGGUAUGUAAAGCUCUAUCAGCAGGGAAGAAAAUGACGGUACCUGACUAAGAAUCCCCGGCUAACUACGUGCCAGCAGCCGCGGUAAUACGUAGGGGGCCAGCGUUAUCCGGAUUUACUGGGUGUAAAGGGAGCGUAGACGGUUUUGCAAGCCAGAUGUGAAAGUCCGGGGCUCAACCGCAGGACUGCAUGUGAAACUGUAAGGCUGGAGUGUAGGAGAGGCAGGCGGAAUUCCUAGUGUAGCGGUGAAAUGCGUAGAUAUUAGGAGGAACACCAGUGGCGAAGGCGGCCUGCUGGACGGUGACUGACAUUGAGGCUCGAAAGCGUGGGGAGCAAACAGGAUUAGAUACCCGAGUAGUC